This 254-nucleotide ribosomal RNA is filed under the name uncultured bacterium. RNAcentral's name for it is "partial 16S ribosomal RNA". It matches the Rfam family "Bacterial small subunit ribosomal RNA", at positions 524 to 776 of the family's 1533-position model. The record is from RNAcentral.
CACGUAGGCACCAAGCGUUGUCCGGAUUUAUUGAGCGUAAAGAGCUCGUAGGCGGUUCAGUAAGUCGGGUGUGAAAACUUUGGGCUUAACCCAAAGCGUGCAUCCGAUACUGCUGUGACUUGAGUUCGGUAGGGGAGUGGGGAAUUCCUAGUGUAGCGGUGAAAUGCGCAGAUAUUAGGAGGAACACCGGUGGCGAAGGCGGAUCUCUGGGCCUUACCUGACGCUCAGGUGCGAAAGCUAGGGGAGCGAACAGG